This 428-nucleotide ribosomal RNA is filed under the name uncultured bacterium. Its description in RNAcentral is "partial 16S ribosomal RNA". It matches the Rfam family "Bacterial small subunit ribosomal RNA", at positions 354 to 796 of the family's 1533-position model. The record is from RNAcentral.
GUAGGGAAUAUUGCGCAAUGGGGGAAACCCUGACGCAGCGACGCCGCGUGAGUGAUGAAGGCCUUCGGGUCGUAAAGCUCUGUUGCAGGGGAAUAAAAAAAUGAAGGUACCCUGUGAGGAAGGAUCGGCUAACUUCGUGCCAGCAGCCGCGGUAAGACGAGGGAUCCUAGCGUUGCUCGGAAUCAUUGGGCGUAAAGAGGGCGUAGGUGGCUUGGUAAGUCAGGUGUGAAAGCCCAGGGCUCAACCCUGGAAGUGCAUUUGAUACUGCUGAGCUUGAGUGUCGGAGAGGUUACCGGAAUACCUGGUGUAGUGGUGAAAUACGUAGAUAUCAGGUGGAACACCGGAGGCGAAGGCGGGUAACUGGACGAACACUGACACUGAGGCCCGAAAGCGUGGGGAUCAAACAGGAUUAGAUACCCGUGUAGUCC